This is a long non-coding RNA of Etheostoma cragini (Arkansas darter), 108 nucleotides long. RefSeq lists it as uncharacterized. The record is from RefSeq and is a predicted model, not a curated record. Lineage: Eukaryota; Metazoa; Chordata; Actinopteri; Perciformes; Percidae. The transcript has 3 exons.
UUAAUUUUAAUAAUGAUGUGUUUGAUGUUUUAUGUAAAGCACUUUGAAUUGCACUGCUUCUGAAAAGCUAUCCAAAUAAAAUUGCCUUGCCUUUCCUUGCAUGAAUAU